Molecule: ribosomal RNA, 497 nt
Filed under: uncultured bacterium
Lineage: Bacteria
Description: partial 16S ribosomal RNA
Rfam family: Bacterial small subunit ribosomal RNA
Source: RNAcentral
GACGAACGCUGGCGGCGUGCCUAAUACAUGCAAGUAGAACGCUGAAGAGAGGAGCUUACUCUUCUUGGAUGAGUUGCGAACGGGUGAGUAACGCGUAGGUAACCUGCCUUGUAGCGGGGGAUAACUAUUGGAAACGAUAGCUAAUACCGCAUAACAAUGGAUGACACAUGUCAUUUAUUUGAAAGGGGCAAUUGCUCCACUACAAGAUGGACCUGCGUUGUAUUAGCUAGUAGGUGAGGUAAUGGCUCACCUAGGCGACGAUACAUAGCCGACCUGAGAGGGUGAUCGGCCACACUGGGACUGAGACACGGCCCAGACUCCUACGGGAGGCAGCAGUAGGGAAUCUUCGGCAAUGGGGGCAACCCUGACCGAGCAACGCCGCGUGAGUGAAGAAGGGUUUCGGAUCGUAAAGCUCUGUUGUAAGUCAAGAACGGGUGUGGGAGUGGAAAGUUCACACUGUGACGGUAGCUUACCAGAAAGGGACGGCUAACUACGUG